AUCUUGCUGGUAGAAUUAUUAAGGGCCAGGAAAGAUAUGCAUUCUAAAUCUUUAUAGUGCAGCAUUUGCAACUUGCAUGCGUUUUUUUUUAGUUUCAGUUUUAAGGAUCUGCCUUAUGGUUAUUGCUCUUUUCCAAGAUGAUAGAUUUAGUUGUUAUUUAUCUGAUGUUUCCAACAGGAAGCAGCACUCCCCAGGAGUAACUAUGAAGAAAAAGUUUACAUUAACAUCCACACGACUGUUUGGGCUUAUACUGGAAUGAUAACCAAUGGGGCUAUAAGUGCUGCAAGCAGACAAUUCGUAAUAGCUAUUGCACUGGUGCUGCUGGAAUUUUUUGUUGGUGUCAUUCUUUGUGUCUUAUUGUACACCCUGUGGAUUUAAUCAUAUUUUUGUGCCAAUAACUUUGUUGACCUAAUUAAUUACCAAGGUCUAUAUAUAUAUAUAUAUAUAUAUAUAUAUAUAUAUAUAUAUAUAUAUAUAUAUUUAAUUAUACUUGAAUGUUGAAAGUACGGACCCUUGAUAUUAGUGUUACAUGCCCCCUGACAUUAGUUGUUUGGGCUUGAAGUGUGGACAAAAGCUCAUUUUAUUUUACAUGCAUGUGUUGUUUCGUAUUUUUGUUUUUGUUCUGCAUCACACAACCAGAUGAAAUUGCAUAGAAGAAUUAGAUUCUAGAUUCGGGUUUUGAGCUUUUGUAACCAAUCAAACAGAAUAUUAGAUCUGGUCUUAGAAGUUCAUUCCACCUGGAGUUUAUUAUUCAAUACAUUGGUCAUGUGAAGGGAUUUUAAUGAAUUUGGGAUGUUAGCAUCAUUUAGUUCCAUGGAUGUAUAUUGACAUUGUUCUUGAACCACUUCAUUUAGGCUUAGCCAUAUUGUUCUAAUGAUGUGUAGUAUAGGGACUCUGAUCUCUGUUACUCCAAACUAUUUUUGUCGGAAUUGCAAGUACAUUUUAACUAUAUUGCCAUGGGGGGCACCGGUUCUGUAAGGAUUUCUAAGUAUUGAAAAAUCAUGCACACAUUUGAUUUGAAUAAGUAAUUGUCUUUUCGUGCUUUGAUUAUAGGCACUGAGGUAUUAGUUUUUUUAAUCAGUUAUCUUUCAUGUCAUAGUCGUAAAUUAAGAAAAUCAAAGCUUUAAUUUGUUUCUACCAAAACUUUUAAAUUUUAAAAGAAAAACCCUCAAAUAACUUCUGCGUAUCCUUAAAGCUUUUAAGUUCAAACUUGUUAAGUUAAAAAAAAUGGGUUAAACAUAGUUGUCUUAACUCUGUUUUCUAGCUUAAAGCAAUGAGCAUGGGACACAUUUCAGCAAACACAUUAGUAUCUAUCAUGUCUUUACUCCUUAGCAACACAACUUUUUUGGAGGCAAGUUCUUUCGUGCCAAUAACGGAAAGAGAGAAAAAAAUCAUAUCAGAACUCAUGAUAAUGCAUAGUGUAUUUUUGUCUUAUAGAGUUUUAGAAAUAUUAUUCACCUCUUUCUAUUUUCUUUACUAUCUCAAUGAAUGGGAAAAUAACAAACAAAACAAGUUGAUAGAGUAUCCACACAUACUAGUCAUCAACAAGCUAAAAAGAUGUAUACUUGACAGUUAUUACACUACAACUUUACUAAGAUUCUGGACUUUAGCAACUAUAGCAUAGUGAAACAUGUCUUGCUAAAAAUUUCUUGCUAUCAUCUCUUGCUCCGCCAUCUCUUGUCUGAAUCUAGUGAUGAACUCCUCUGCUCGUUCAUCUAUUCCUUGCAUUUGAGGUGAAGCUAAAGCCAAAGAUUCCCACAUGCCAUCUGAUUCUGAAGUGCAAGAUCCACCACCCUUUGUUGUUCCUUCUCCCCCAGAGAGCCUUUCAGUUCGUGGUUUUUGUGCUGUCUGUGGCUUCAAAUGCCCCACCAAGUCACAUGAAGGCUCUCUAAAGAGCUUGUCAAUAUACACAGGUGCAGGCUUCUUGUGGAACCCGAAGAUGAAGCUUCUCACUGUGGCUAAGGCUAAUCUUUUGCGACGAAAACGUUUGGUAGCAAGGAACUUAGGAGGGGCCUUGGUAACCUUUUUAGUGGUGGUUUUUGAAUAAUGCUUUCUGGGUUUCUUCAUGGCUUUGGAUUUGGACCUAUGAAGUUUACCAAGGGUGGAAGUGAUGCUCUUCCAUGCCUUUUUAGCAGGUGGAAGACUUAGCCUUAGCUUUAGGCUUAUGCAGGAUUUCAUUGAUAGGAGAAGAGAGCAAUGCUUCAAAUAGAAGAGGAGGAUAUAGUAAUAGGUGGGUUAAAAGUUAAAGUCAAGUUCAAAUGGAAACUUGGGUCCUUUAUAACAUACAUGGUAGCAUGUGUUAGAUUCUCUUUUUUCUGUGUCAUGUUGUGGAAUAGUAUAUUACUGCAUUCAUAUUUGGUGGUUUUGCUGCGAGGGGUGGCGUAGUUAUUAAGGGCUGAAUAUUGUUGACAAUAAGAGCAUAAAGCUGGAGUAGGUAAAGCCUGCCAAAUUCUCCAGCACCAACAAACUACCUUGCUUAAUUAUUAAGCUGGCAUCAACUUAAGUCUAGAAUCUACCUCUUUUUUUUAUUUUACUCGAUAAUUUGUUAAUGGUUUACACUAUUUGUUUAGUAAGAGACAAGAGUUAGUCUAUUUCAGAAAACAUGUGAUAGGCGUAGUAAUACAUGAAUCAGCUUUUUCUGUUAAAUGAAACUGAGAUAUAUUCUAUGGUUGCGUGGAAUAUUUUCGAGUCCACACCACAAUAUGUACAGAAUAUAAUUGUUGUGACACAGGGUUUGAGAAAUUUGUAUGAAGUUGUAAUCAAGUUAAAAAUCCACUCUAAAAAAAAAAGUUAAAAAUCCCACGAUAUAUUGCACCCUUUGUUCUAGCUACGGUUUUAAUUUCCUUCCUCCCCCUCGUAAUCAUGUGAUGUAUUACUAUGAUAAAAGGCUAAAGUAUUGAUCUAAAUGCGAAUUUCAUUUUUCUUUUUGUUAAAUAUAUUAAAAUGAAUAGUAAAAAAAAGAGUUUUUAAAAAUAAAUUAUAACUAUAUGAUUAUCAAAGGUAAAGUAGUGUUUGAAGAUUGUAAAUAAAAAAUAUUGUCAGUGACAGACUUGCAUACAAAUGAGCAAAUCAAUUAGGCGUAAAACAACUAAAGAUUUAAGUAAGAUUUAGUUUUGGAUCCAGAAUUAAUUUCAUAAUCAACUAAAAUAUCAAAAUUUAUAAAAAUAUCUCACAAUCUCACCAAAAAAUCAAACAUCUUAAUUAUAAUUAUAGUGAUUAAAAAGAAACUAAAGCUUAAGUUUUGAACUUACUAAUAAAGUAAUAAAGAUCAUAUAUGUUAAUAAAAAGAUUUUUAAAAAAAUACUUAAAUUUCACUCAUUGUUUAGUGGAUCUAGAGGGUGGAAAUGCAUGUGAUAAAAUUACAAGUAAAUAUCUUGAAUUUUUAUAUUUUAUCCUAUUUAUUUUUAUAUAUUUGAACGCAUCGAUUCUAAGUUUUUCAUUCUUCUGGCAUGUUUAUUAUUAUUAUUUUAUUUAGCAUUUUGAUUUUAAAAUUAGAUUUUAUAUUUUCUCCAUAUAUAUGAUAUUAGAUUUAUGAUUUUAAAAUUUAUAUCUUUAUCUUUAUAUGUGAUAAUAAUAAUUAUUAAUUUUAAAAUAAAUUAACUGACUCAUUGUCAUGAAUAUGCCGUUAAUUAGUGCUUACUAUUUUAAAUAAUUUGUUGGUAACUAAUUUUUUUGAAAAAACAUAAUUCACUAUAAUAGUAAUUUAUAUCUCUAUUAUUGUUGUAUAACAAUCAUGUAAAUAAUCCAUUCACUACCCACAUCAUCAUCAAUGAAUAUGAUAGUAUUAUUAUAUUUAAUUUUUUUUAAUAAAUUGUGUUUUUAAUUCAUCAUAAAUUUAUUUGAUAUCAACACCUAAUUUGAACAAAUAAAAAAUUAAAAAAAAAAGUGAUUGUUCCCGUCAAAUUUCUUAAUGACAUGACAAAUAAUUAGUAUGCUAACUAGAGUAUUACAUCAUCAAUUAGCAUUGUUAAUCGAUAAAAAAAAAGGAUUAAAACUGUUAAAAAAAAAAGCAUAGGACCGAAAAUGUUUUAAAAAUUCAAUGACUAAAGGUGAAAUUUGAAAAAAAAAAUAAUUACAGAUAUAGAUAUAAUUAACUCUUCUUAGUUUUACAAAACUCACUUUAAUAUCUAUCUUUUCAAAAUGUCUCUCUGUUUAAUUUUUUUCAGCAAAACAUUUCCUUGAAUUCUUAGUGUUAGUGGAAAACAUAGUUAAAAAAGAGUAGAGUGAAUGGCAGGUUGUAAGGUAGUACUAAAUAAAGAUUUUAUAAAGUUAAACACUAAAUUAAUCCGGACCUAAUCAUAAUCUCAAAAACAAGUGACGGUUUACUCAAGUUAUUCUCUUUUUAUAACAUAUUUUCUUAGAACUCUUUUUUUAAUCUAUUUUCUUCAUGACCCUCAUUUUGUCUGACAUUUACAUUUCCCUUUGUUUUCUUCGCAUCUCUCUACUGCUAUAAAACACGAACAGAAAGUACUGUUCAUGAGGAAUUUUUUUUAAAGAAAUAGCAUUUUCGUAUAUUAUUUUUCUCUACUUUAAUUCAAUUUUAUUUUUAUUUUUUUAUCAAUUUUCGCUAUUCAUUUCUCUUCCAGAUAAACCAAACUCUGCCUUCAAAGUUGGACACCGCAAUUCGCAAAUGUAUACAUAUCACACAAUAACCGAAAGCUAAUCCACCCAUCACUUUAUAAAUACAUCAACAAGCAUGGAUACUACUGAUAAGAACAAAGAAGAUUAAAGACAAAUUAAAAAGUAUGGUGGCGAAGAACACAAAUACAAAAUCAGUACUAAUUUAAUUUCCUCCAUUCCAAGGGUUCCCACCAUAUCAACAAUCACCCUUUCCAAUAUUCCAAAAUCACGUCACAAUGUAGUGAUUCGAGUCUAUCCAAGAAAAAACGCACAAAAAGAUCAAUGUAAAAAAGGGUAAAGCGAGUGGGACUUACCCAAUAACACAACUAAAACAUUACUGGAUCAUCAUCAUGAGUAUAUACUAUAUAAUAUACCAAUACUGCUAUAUAUAUAUGAUGACAAAGUUCUUGACUUGAGAUUAGAUUAGGAUUUAGGAGCAAGCCUGAUUAGCCAACAAGAAGUUAUUGGCUUGAGAAGCAGCUUCAGCGUGUGAAACCAGCGCUUUUAUGAGCAAAGUCUUAACCUGCCAAGGCUUGAAAGGGAAACCCUCUCUGGCAUAAGAGUUAAGCAACGCUGCGGUUCCCUCUUUGACCAAUCCUCCGAAAGGGUUACUCUCCUCGUCGUUCCUCGCAGUUGCUUCCAACAAUGUCAGAUCCGAUCUGUACCGUUCGUACACUCUUGAACCGAACACGUUCGACACCGUCGAUGUCUCCGGCACCAUCCUCGGCCACGCCUCCCUCCUCCCGCUCCAAAACCUAACCACAUCGAUUAGAAAUAAUGUCAAAAUAAAAUAUAUAAAUAUGAGACAAUUCUCACUCUAUAAACCAACUUUAUAGAGUAGAGUUAAGUCAACGACAUCGUAAGAAACAGAAACAUAUGGUGACAUCAUUAACAAGGGAAUAGAAGUAUGUUUCUUACUGUGCCGUGCAUCUGCCUCUGCUCCGAGUGUAGAGGAAGCCGGGUAUACCAUGUCUCUCUGCCUCUGCAACAAAGUGGGAAGAUAAGGUUAGGAGGAGGAGGAGACAAAAGAGAAGCGUGGUGCACAGUGAAGCCAUUCUUGUCUUCUUCUUCUUCUUCUAACUCUGCUGGUUUUUUCAGCUUGUUUGCUAAAGAAAAUAAAUUUAUGUGGUGAGAGGGAUCUGAGCACUCUGAUAUUUCUUCGGAUUUGGUCUAUGCUAGUUUGAACGUUACACUUGCACUGUGGAUCUCUGCUUUCGAGGAACACGUGAGGUCGUUUCGAAUUCGACAGUGGGAUCAAGACAAAGUUACCCUUACUAGUUAGACUAAGCUUAUUCUUCAAAUAAAUUUUAAAUCUUCCGGUAAUAAAUUCUUUCAUUUAUUUAAAAACAAAUGUUUAAGACAUUAAUAAUCAGUUUUGUUUAAACUUACUUAUUAAAAUAAAUAAUCAGUUUUUGUUUUUAAAAAAAUAUUCAUAUAAAAAAUAUUUAUUUCAAAAUUAUUUUUUUUAGUUUAAGCAAACUCGUCCUACAUAUAUUUCUAUAGAAAAGGGAAAUUAUCAACCGCCUGUGAUAAAAUAUAUAUAUAUAUAUAUAUAUAUAUAUAUAUAUAUAUAUAUAUAUAUAUAUAUAUAUUAUUGUUCAUUUCUCUAUCUCUAUUUUAAUAAAAAUAUUUUUACUUAUUCGUUUGAUUAAAUAUUUAAAAUAAUAUUAAUAUUGUUUCUGUAAGUUCUUGUGUUUUUACAUAUUUUAAGACAAUAUAGUAAUAAAGUUAAAAUAAUUUUAAUAUAACUAAAAUAUAAAGUCAAAUUUCUUAAUCUAACAAACAAACAAAAAACGUUAAGACUAAGUCCAACCAUGGCUUAUUUUUUUGGAAAAAUGACCUAAAAAUAUUUGAAGUUUAUGGUGGCUGCCCACCCACAUUCAAACCAAAUGUACUCCUAUCAGUUCGCUUUAAGAUUGGGACUCCACCUAGAUAAAUACCGGUAAUUGCCAUUUGCAUUAUCUUUUUUAUUUAUACUUUUUUCUUUUCAUUUUUUAAAAAAUAACCUUUUUUCUUUCUUUCUAAAAGUACCCUUUUCCAAAUAGAUAGGUUGUAAAUUAAGUGAAAACGGAGCGUUAUGUACUUAUAUCAACGAUGACUACAUGACAAAUGUGAAAAUAACAUCACUAGGGUUUACAAUAUUUUGUUGUCUCAGACUCAAGGUUUUUCUUAUUUAAGUUUGGCAUGUUUCAACAAUGAGUCUCAAAUGAGUCCAACAUAAUUUUUUUCUUUGACCAUAAUAUAUUUGACAUUGUGCUGUAAAUAUAAUUACAAGUUUUAAACUUUGAAGGAGCCAAACCCACCACAGAAGACUGCUAAUUUACAAGACAAACAAGUAGCACUAUCGGUAUGAAUUAACUAGAGAUUAUAGUUGGAUAAUCUGACAAGGCAAUUGAAAGUCACCGAAAAAUUAGAAUUGUGUUGUAUAGAGCCUUCAAUUGUAUCUGUCAUCAAACUCCAAGCUUAAAUAGGGGAGCAAAACUAGAUAUUGGGAAAGUAGAAAGAAGGUUAGAGGAAUGCCUUAUCCAUGUCUAUGUAAUGAUAAAACCACAAUCAACACAACAUAUUAACUUAAGAUCCCAAUAUGAAAACAAGAACCUGUAAAAUGUCAUACCAUUUCUUAAGAACCGGAUAUAAAAAAAUAUGACUUCUCAAUGUAAUUUUUAAAAUAUACUAUUGUUGAAAUUUCUCUCAACUGCAAUCCUGGCGUAUAGUUGGUUGUCAAAUCACCCUAUUUAUUCACUUCUGAAGGAAAUAAGCAUUUCACCUAUUUGUCAUGUGUGUGACAGAGGCCACACUGUUUGCGUUCAUGCUCCAGUGUGGCACGUAAAUGUCACUCUGUAAAACCAGACAAUUAAUUAACACCCUAACAAAAACUAAUAAUACCAAAGAUGAAUAAAAAAAAUUCAAUUUUCAAAGAAUAUAUAUUUGUGUGACCUUGUAAAGUUUAACCAAUUGGGCGCUGAGACGGAGCAAUUUGAGAACUGGGAGGGUUAAGCUGUUGAUGGCGCGCAGUCGACCGGCUCUUGGGUUGAAUAUGUCUGCGUGUGAAGGGUCAGCGAUAUUCUCGUGUAGCUUCAAAGUGCACAAGCUUUCUUCCAACACAUUACUACCUUCACCACGUUCCUUAUAUCUCUCUCGUGAUUCUUCUUUUCCAUCUUGUUGUCCUUUAUGUUCAUGCCACUCGCGGCGAAGGUAGUAAUGUGUUCUAGUUUUCUCUUCGCAUUCUCCACAUCCCUCGUGUUCUCCUUUGAGGUGCUUGCGCUUUCUGAUUUCUUUUUCUUCUACCACCUCUUCUUUCUUCUCGGGUCUUGGGUUUUUCUUCUACUUUGCUUCUCUAAUUUCGUGUUCCAAGGGUGGCCUGAUAAUUCUAAGACCUCUUUCCACCUUUAUGAUUUGGUCCCCUGCAUGUGACUGAAGCUUCUUUGUGAUCCCCACCUUCACGUUGGAUGCUUCUGCCAAGAAACGUGGAUCGAAGCCACCGAACAUGUUUCUAUUGUUACCUUCUUCUUGCUUGCACCCACCACUACCAGGGUGCUCUUCUUUUGGGUUCCCAGGAAGAUAACUCUGCAACAUGCCACCAAAUUAAACGAGUAUAAUAAUAAAAAAAAGGUUUAAUAUGCAUCACGAAAUAUAUGAUGACCAUGUUAAGUUUGUUGGGUUUUUUUGGACUGGGUUUUUUUGGACUCCUUUCUAAUAUGGAGUAAAAGUCCAAAAUGAGAAGAGAAUAUAUUUCACUUAUUUAAAUUGAGAGGAGUUAGAUUAAAAAGAGAUAUAGUGAGAGAAACUCUUUUAAAAAAGAAAAAUAAUUACAAAUUAUUAAGAGAGAAAGAAUAAAAUGAAAAAUUAUUGUGAUGGGAUCAAGAAAAACAUUCUGAUCGAAAAAAAGAUAUCUAUAGAAAGAUAUUAGUGUUUGGUAUUGUACUCUUUAUAUUUUAGAGUUUUAUCUUCUUGUCUCUAUUAUUAAUUGUGGGGUUUGUUUUGAUUUGAUUAUUUGUAACAUAUUAGUAUAUUUAUUGGAGGUUCUCUUGUAUCUUUAUUGAUUAUAAUGAAAUUAUUUAUUUGAUCUGAUUUUUAUUCUUAUAUUGAGAAAUUUUUCAUGUUAAACAAAUUAUAUUUCUAUUUUUUUUUUAUUUUAUUCUUUAUGUUUCUCACAUAUCCUUAUAAGUUUAGAAGAAUUUAUUUAUGUUUUUUAUUAGUUGUUAUAGAGUUUGUUGUUGUGUUGGUGUAUUUCUGCGUUAAAGUUGACAAUGAAUUUCUUACUCUGGCAACUCGAUCAAGCUGGUUUGCCGAAUUGGCAGUGUGAAGGAGUUACAACAAGGGAAACAUUUGCGUAGUUGUAGGUCCAGUAAGGAAUUCCAGGUGGAACAGCGAAUAUGUCACCCUGCCUCAGGUAACGAACCUUCUGGUGGCGAUCAUGUUCCUGUUCCUGCUCAUGCUCACUCUCCGGUUGUGGCUCUUCAUAAGUCUCGUCACAACCAGGAAUUACAAUUCCCAACACUCCCUCUCCUAUGGAAAUAAUUAAGUUGAUGGAUAAGAAGACUAAUAAAUUGAUGAGGAGGAAUGGAUUGUGUUGUGUGCAUAUAUAUCAAGUUGUUGAACAACCUUGGAGUACGAAAUGGAGUUCGGGGUAAUUAACGUAGGAUGGCAAGUGAAGGCAUUGGGGUUGAUAAAAGCAACGCCAGUGCAACAUAGCUCAUGUUGGGAAUUGAGGGGAGUAAUCAAUCACAUAAGGGAAUCGCAAACACACACUUUAACCUAAAAUCAUAAACCUCAUGUUGGUAAGUCUUUUUUCGGGUGUUUAAUUUUUUCAUUUUCACACUUGUAUUUUAAGAUAUGAUGCCACCUUGGGAUUCGAUGGGAUUGUGAGGGUUCAGUGCAUGGAUGAUAUCGAGUUGGGACUGCUGCUUGAACUGGCAUUGAUCACGAGCUAAGCACCUGCACGUGAACUAGAGCAGAAAGCAGAGGAGCGCAGAAUGCUUGAGCAUACUGAACUGAACAGUAGUUGCGAGGGAUAUAGCUAGCAAAGGAGGAAUUGCUACGUGCUGAUUAAUUUAUAGAUUAGAGAGACACGUCACUGGACCCUGCAUGUAUUCCAAACCCUGAUUUCUUACCCCUUAUCAACUUUAUUGGCCUUGCGGUGCCUCUUCACAGAAUCAUCCAACAAUCACCCAAAUUCUUUUUCUGUUUCCUCAUUCAUAAUUAAUUUCUGCUACCUUAACCUGUGCUUUAUCAAGACCAACGAAAUUUAGAUAUCUUCUGAGCCCUACCUAGUACCUACUGUUUCUAUGCUCUAUAUCUUGUAACUGUGCAAGAUAAUAGUGUAUAUUGUUCCUUUUUAAUUGGUAUUUUGAGCCUCUAGCGUAUUUAUCCUGGCCAUCUCAUUUAGCCUUAAAAAAAAAUUUAAUAUGGUUUAGAAACAUAAAGUGCAUGUCGAUCCCUUUAUAUUAUAGGCUUAGACUCAUUUUCCUAGUAGUAAUUUAUUUAGUUAUAAAAAAAAUAGCGUAACUCAUAAAUUUUUACAUGUAUAAUUUCAUUCUUGAUAAUAAAAUAUUUAAUCAUAAAUUUCAUCACUUUAAAAUUAAAUUUAAUUAAAAUUAAUUUUAUUAAUAUUCAUUCCAAACAUGUACAUGUAAAUUUUAGAUAUCUAUUAUUUGAUUUAUUUUUCCUUUUUUAAGAUUGUGUACGUACAUUAAUUGUUGGAUAGAAUCGAGUUUCACAUACAUGCAUUCAUGUCUAUCUAAACUAAGUAGGAAUGUAGGUACUGAAUAAAGACAGCUGUUGUUAAAUGAAUAGAUAUGUCGUGUCUCCAUUCUUCCGAGUGAAUGCCCAUAAGAUCCAAAUUACUUAAACCUUUGUUUGGGCAGGUGGCUGUGAACUAUAGUCCAUCAAAUAUGCUAUUCAACACUCAGGAAGUGAAAAAGAAAAAAAAUAUAGAUGUAAUAAAUUUUAUAAUGUAAUAUUAAAAUAAAAAUAAAAAUAAAUAUAAAAUGCUAAACAUUUUUAAAAAAUACAAAAUGUUAAUGCGAUAUUUAACAUAGAUUAAUAUUUUCAGUGGCUCAAUUUCUUUUUUAUCUGUAUCUCUUCUCUUGAACUUGAGAUCUAUAUUUUGCUGCAGACGAUGACAUGGAGCCCGAAGAAAAGUACCACAAGCAAUUACGUAUACAAACGCAUAUGAAACCGAUUAAUUAAGGUUCUUACAAAUAAAUUAGAGCAAAUAGUCUGGGACACUUUGUUUUUCAUGAACUCAUAUAUAUAUAUAUAUAUAUAUAUAUAUAUAUAUCAAAAGCACAAAUUUUCUUUUAAGUUUACAUACUCAUAUGUAAAAUUGAGCUUAAGUGAAAAGAAAAAACAAACGAUAUAUAGUUAUUGAGGAUCAAAUUUGUGUUAUGUCACAAAAUUCUACAAUAAAAACCACUUAUUUAUCUAUCUGUAUCUAUUAUACAAAUAUUUUGCGUUUCUAUUUAUGAAUUUAUUUAUCAAUAUCUGCAGGUAUAAUUGCAUUUUACGAAGACUUAUUUACAAGAAAAUAAAUGUAUACACUAUUUAUAUUACACUAUUGUUAUACUAUUUUUUAAAAUAAUAUAAUAACACAUUUUAAUUAAAACACAUAUUUUACUUUUACCUUUUUUAAAUUAAAAAAAAAUGAUAACUAUAUUUGUAAAAUCAGAAAAAUGUAAAAAUAAUGGAAAUAUUUAAUGUAAAAAAUAUUGAUUUCCUUAUGGAAAAAUUAAAAUCGACUAAUUGGCAUGAAUAAUAAUUAUUAUUAUUAUUAUUAUAUAUAUAUAUAUAUAUGAUAACAAUAUUAUUAAUAUUGUUAUAUGUAUCUAAAAAAAAAAAGAAAAAACUCUCUUUCUUGGGGGUGUGACACUUUCAAUUUUAGUCUUUCAUGCUCAUCAUGUCCUGCAAUCGCUUCCCAAAGAUAUCAUCGGUCAAGCUACUAUCUCUUAGACCAAUUGUUAUCAACAAUAUUUCCUUAUUUUGUUCUGCAAGAAGGAUAGAAAAGAAUAAAAAGAAAAGAAAAGAGAUUGGACAGAAAAUUUAUUGGAAUUUCUUCUUUUAUUUAUGCUUUUCCCGCAUAGGUACUUGAGUGACUCAUUACACAAGGGUACAUAGUUACUAUACCCGUUAUUCUACACUUAACAAAGGGCAUCUAAGCCUUUGUUUCUUUUAUUCAUUCUUAUUUACUGCUACCAGCACUAGCUAGAGCCCAAAAGGACAAAAGUGUGGUAGCACAUGCAAAAAGGGCUCUCUAAGCCACAGCUCUCCUCUGAGACUCCUGAGGUGGAACCAGGAAGCUGAAAGGGUUGUUGUUCUUCACCUGCCUGGCCUGCUGGCUCUUUAGGUUAAAAGUGUGCUGAAUCACUUCCUCUGGCAAUGCGUUCAACAAUGAGUUUGCCCCUGCAAGGUUUCCGAUCGAGGGUCUAUCAUUGGUCUUGAAUGACACAUACUCAAAGUUAUCGCUCUGGGAUUUUGCAGCCACCGCAAAGUUUUGUGGAACGAUCAGCACCCCUCCCUCUUGCAGCUCUCCAUCAAACACUCUCUCACCAUUGCAAUUCACCACUUGUACCAAUGCCCGCCCAUUCAAUGCGUAUAUUAUGCUGUUCGCGUUCAGGGUGUAGUGUGGCACGAACAUAGCAUUCUGCACCAUACAUCAAUAUCCAUGCAAGUGUACGUUAAUCACAACAUGUUAUUCAUCCAAUAUUUUUAUAAUAUUAUUAUUUUCCUUUUAUCUUUUCAUCAUGAUAUUAAUUAAUUAUCUCACUAUCUUAUACCUUUUCUUCCUAAUCCUAUGGAAAUUAUUAUCAGGUAUUUUAUCACAUGUCAAUAUAUAGUCUCAUAGAAAAAUAUGUUUUUGUGAAUCAGAAUAUUUUUGGCACAAAAAUAUUUUUCUUUUUUUUUAAUCAAAGUAUUUUUUGGUUAAAAGUCAAAAACAAAUUUUUCAAGGUUGAAAAAAAUUUCAUACUCAUGAGUCAUAUAUCUAAAGGACAAAAUUAUCUACUAAUUGUAUCACAUGUAACAAAAAUUAAUAACACAUGCAUAAUUACAUCUCAUGCAGAGAUUAAUUAGAUUAGUAAAAUCGACACAAGAAACUGUGACUACUUAAUAACUUCGGGCAUUUCUAUAUAUAAAAAAAAAGCACAUGAAUAAUGCAUAUGCAAGUGCUAAGAUAACUUUGUCGUCACACAUUUUAAUUACUAUAUAUAACUAUUACCAUUUUUUAACAUUUGUUGAGCUUAAUUUAUAACAUGUAUGAUGUACGUACCUUGCGGAGUGAUCCAUACUGGGCACUGAGUUUGAGAAGCCAGAGGGCUGGGAAGUCAAGGCUGGUGGCGGUUGUGAUGCUACCAGCUUGAGGGUUGUAGAUGUCAGGUGAUGAAUUCUGACCAAUGUUUUGGCGAAGUCUCAUUGUGCAAAUGGUCUCAUCAAUGCCAUUUCUGCUCCUUUUGCUUUGGCGUUGGCAACCUUUGUCUGUCUCCACGCACUGUGGCUGCUCUUCCUCAUCAUCAUCAUCUUCUUCUUGCUGUGGCUUCCUCAUGGCUGGAGCUGUGACUCUUAGACCUCCUUUCACUGUCACAAUGGCUCCACUAUCCUCCUCUUCGUUCUCACCUUGUAGGUUUCUCACUAUCUGCAUGUUCACGCCGAACGCUUCUUUCAAGAAUUCAGGGGCGAAGCCACUCAAUAUGUUGCUUCCUUCGUUUUCUUCUUCUUGUUGCUUUCCUUUCUGGCUUUGGGAACCUCCUUGCUGCUGCUGCUGAUAUUUUAGAAACUCUUGCUCUUGGUUCCCAGCAAGAUAGAAUCUCUGCCAAGAAUUGUCAAAACAAAUAGUUGUCAAUCCGUAACCAGCUAGUAUUAGAACUUAAGAAUUCUAAUCUUAACGUUACAAUGUAGUCCAGUUUCCUUUUUUUAUCAGCUACAAUAUUGUCCAUGUAUUUCAAGACAAGAACCAAAUUGGAUAAAAAAACACAACUAUAAGGAUCCAAUUGGCAUAUUUUAAUCUAUAGGUACUAAAUUAGAAAGUGCAACUCCACGAACUAAAAUGAUAUUUAAACCUUUAAAGAAUUAUAAUAUCUAAUAUUGCUAUGUGGCUCACCCUAGGCAUCUGGUCGAGCUGGUUCUCCAAGCUGUUGGUGUCAAUAAUAGAAACGGCAACAACAGGAGUGUCUUCAUUGUUGUACAUCCACCAUGCAACACCAGUAGGCACUGCGAUCAAAUCACCCUCUCUGAAGCGAUGUACCUUUUGGUGACGGUCUUGGGGCCUCUGGCUUCGUCCUCGUUGCUGAGAUUCUUGCGGCUCUUGAUAAGUGCUAGGACAACCCGGGAAUAUCAUGCCAAAAAUACCAUUACCUAUUCAUAUAUAUUACACAACAACACAAAGAAAAAAAAAACAUUAGCAUAACCAUUUUCUUUUCAAAAUGCAUGGUUUCACAAAACUGAGAAAUUGAAACAAGUUAUUAUUAAUUUGAAUAUAUAAGAUAGGUUGGACGGUUAAGAAGAAAAACAAAAGCCACAGUUUCAAUCAAUUUUACUAACAAAAACUAACCAUUAACAUCUGAUAAAAAAAAAAUUAAACAAGAUUAUGGACCUUGUUGUAUGUAGAUUUCCUGGGGACCGUUGGUGUAGGAAGGUCUACGAAGGGCAUUGCGGUUAAGGGUGCAGCGAGAGAGGGCAACACCGGCACACUGGAAUGGCUUGUUGUUAGGGUUCCAGGUCUCAAUGAACCCACCUUCCGACUCUAUACGGUUAUCCGGUUUGAGGGCAUUCAGCUUUUGGAUCUGGCACUCAUUUUGCUGUGCCUGCUCUCUCAGAGCGAAGCAGCCACUGAAAAGAAGGAAACAAAGGGAAAGAACAAGCUUGGCCAUGGUGAUGAGUGUUCAAAGACAAUGGAGAGAAUGUUUGUGUUGUGAAGCGGAGAACCUGAGGCGUGGUUAUUUAUAGGGAAGAGAGGAAGGUGGGUGAGGGACACGUCACAGGAGUGGGGUGCUGAGCUUGAGACAUUCUUCAGUAUGCAUGGCUAUGGAAGCCUUGUGUGUUACACCUCAUUAAGUUCAUGGGUGUGAGGUGGCUUCGACAGUUCGACAUCAACAUUAUGUGACAAAUACCAAGUGUGUUUGUAUUGCAUGCAAUUGCCAGAAAACGGUGGUGGAGAGGGGGACCAUGGUUUCAUUUCAUGUUCGCGGGUUUAUGACAUAUGAAAUUAUAUGAAUACACCGUGUGACAAUGAUGGGAUCCUCAAAGUGAGAAGAAGGGCCGUCCAAAAAUGACCUCACUCUAGGGAUAGAGAAAUUAUUAGGUGUUAUGAAAUUAUCACUAUUCAUGGUUUUGACAGAUCUUUAUGUGAUACUAGUUACUCAAUUUUUUUUAAUUUAAUUAGGAAAUAAUUAAUCAUACUUUAAUUUACAUAUCAUAAAGAUUAGUGGAGAAUAAUUUGUACUGUAUAUAUAAUAAUUUCUUGGAUAGAGAAAUUAUAUAUUAGGGACAUUUUGUUUUUUGGAUUAUCCUCGUUUUGAUUGUCAAUAUAAAAAAAAAGUAAGCGAAAAUAAGAAGAAAAUGACUAAGUUUUAAACAAUUAUAUUAGUUAAACAAAAAUACUUAUAUGUUUUAGGUCUAUAAUAAAUAUGAUUAAUUUUAUUUUGAGUUCUAAUUUUAAUUUUUUUUUCUUUGUAUUGGAUUCUUAUAUCUUAAAAAAUUUAUUUUGACUCUUUAUCAUAGGUAGGUUAGUAAUGACAUAUCAAUCAAUUAACAAAUUACAAAGUCAGAGUUUAAAAACUGUGGGUAUUUCUGAUAGAAAAUAAUCUGGAUUGUCUCUAACUCAUUAGCCUCUCGAUUUUGUCAGGUUCGGGCUUAGUGAAUGCAACGGAUUCUUGGGUGUGUUCCAAUCUGCGUUGUGGCUUGGUUUCUUUUGCGGCCUCAAACACUUUCUUCUUCUCCGGAGGAAGUUUUUUAAACCCUCAUCCGAAUAAAGUAACCCCAUGUAAGCAAUUUUUAAACCCGUAUAGUCCGAAUAAACAAUUUGAAACCGCCCGAUUGUGUCUUUUUAUUUAUUCCUUUAGUGUGGGUUUGGUUCGAGCUUCUCUCGGGUUUAUGCUCAGCCCUAGCUACUACCAUUAUUCAUUUAAAAAAUAAGUUACAAUUUGUGACAGUUUGAAAGCUGUCAGAAUCAAUUAAAACAAAAAAAAUUAAAAAAUUAAAUGUAUUUUGAUCCUCCUAUUUUAUCAAAUCCAUAAAUUUGGUUUUUUAGUUUUAAGAUUUUAAAAUUGAGACCGUUAAUUCCUCUCUUUUCUAAAAUCAGGAAAUUAAAUUUUUCUGUCAAAUUAGUUGUGUUGACCAAAUGUUGACUGUUAAAAUUUUCUUUCUUCUUUUUCCUUUUGCUUUCACAUAAACCUCAGUCUUAUUUGUUCAAGGAAUUAUGCACAUUUUGUGCCCACUGUCCAUGGCUGCCAAAAGUUUCUUGGUUAUUCGAGUCAAUUAAUGCAACAAUCUGGAUAGAUUAAUUGUAGUUCUAUGCAAUGAUUAAGAACUAUCAAAGCAUUAAGAACUUGUAGCUCCUCACACACGAGAAAUAAGAAAUGGACAAGAAUGAGAAUGAGGACUCGAGCCUAAAAUUUAAGGCCAUGGACACCAAAUAUACGGGAAUGAUUGCACAUUUUGCAGGAAAUAAGUAGUGAGCCACAAACAUAAUUCCAUUUAUUCAAAGAAUAGUUAAGUUAUCAUCUUUAUAUAUUUUAAACACUUAAAUUAGCACCUUUACAUUAAAAGAACGCACACUAAUAUUAUUAAAAAAAGUAUUCAUCAUUUUGUAGGCCAACUUAAAAUAUAAUAUAUUAUAUAUAUAUAUAUAUAUAUAUAUAUAUAUAUAUAUAUAUAUAUAUAUAUAUAUAUAAUAUUAAAAUACUUAAUGUUUCUCACCUUUUUUAUGUUUGUUAUCAUAUAAAAAAACAUAGAUGAAUUUUAAAAAGUAAAUUAUUUACCAUCAAUUUAUAUAUUUGUUAAGCUACACAUAUUUUUUUAUUAGAGUUCUUUUUUUGUGUGUGUAAAAAUAUAUGUGAUGUCCUGUCAUUCUAUGUUUUACACAUUAGCUAUGCGAGAGUGUCUGUGCUCAUAUUGUGUCUGAUGUCCAUGUCGAAUUUCAAGCUUCAAAAUAUCAACUAACUAACUUGUGAGUCAAAUUACCGAUUGGGGGUAAUUUUUUUUAAAAUUUAUCAUUUGAGGAUAGAUUUUAAAUUAAUAUUCGUUUAAGGUUUAUGAAUUGAAAGUCAUGAAAAUGAAAUUAAUAUUUCUUGAAACCAAUAUCUAUUUAGUGUGGACAAUGGACAUCAAGACAUCAUAUGCAACACCAUCCUUGACUCUGUUGAAAAUUAAAAUCCCAGAAAAACACAUUUUUUAGCUCCCAUGUUAAAUUUGGAGCGAUGUUUUAUGUUUGAAGACACAAAGCACAAUGGUCCAAAUACUCUCGAACUUUCCAAGUUGGGUUGAGCUCCAAGUCAUGAAGAACCUGAUAAGACGUCUUCAUUCUUAAAGUUAAUCUUCAACUAUUGGGUCUGCAAUACUUUCAAUUUUAGUCUUCUACAUCAUGUCCUGUCCUGCCAACACUUCCUAAAGAUAUCAUCGAUCAAGCUAACUAUCAUUGGACCAAUCGUUAUUGUUUGCCUUUUGUUUUGCAAGAAGCUCAGAAGAAAGAAAAAAAAAAGAGAGAGAGAGAGAGACAAAAGAAGAUUUGACAGAAAACUCAUUGGAAUUUCUCCUUUUAUUCCCGCAAAAGUUUCGUGACUCAUUAUAGAGAGUACUUACAUUAUUAUUUUACAGUGAACAAAAGGCAAGCUAAAGCCUUUGUUUUCUUAUUCAUUAUUAUUAUUAUUAUUUAUUGGUUGCUAGCACUAUUGCCAAAAAGACAAAAGUGGGGUAGCACAUACAAAAAGGGCUCUAAGCCACAGCUCUCUUCUGAGACUCCUGAGGUGGAACCAGGAACUUGAAAGGGUUGUUGUUCUUUAUCUGCCUGGCCUGCUGGCUUUUUAGGUUGAAAGUGUGCUGAAUCACUUCCUCUGGUAAUGCGUUCAACAAUGAGUUUGCCCCUGCAAGAGUGCCGAUCAUGGGUGUAUCAUUGGUCUUGAAUGACACAUACUCGAAGUUGUCACUCUGUGAUCUUGCAGCCACCACAAAGUUUUGUGGCACGAUCAGCACCCGUCCCUCUUGCAGCUCUCCAUCAAACACUCUCUCACCGUUGCAAUUCACCACUUGUAUCAAUGCCCGUCCAUUCAAUGCGUAUAUUAUGCUGUUCGCGUUCAGGUUGUAGUGUGGCACGAACAUUGCAUUCUGCAUCGUACAUCAAUGCAUGCAAGAGUCACAACAAAUUCAUCCAAUAUUUUUAUAAUAAUACUAUUUUUUGUUUUGCUUUUUUCAUCAAUCUUUUCUUUUUUUUUCUCUCUAUUUCUAUAUAUAAAGACAGAAAAGAUAGAAUCCAUGCAAGUGUUAAGAUAACUCCGUCACACAUUUUAUAGUGUAUCUAAGAUUAUUAUUAAUCAAUAAAUCAUUAGUCUAAGUAUAAAUAAUGUAAUUAAGAUGAAAGACUCCAUUAAAAGUGAUCAAACAAAUUUUCUAAAAAAAUUAAUUAUCAAUAAAAUUAAUAAAUAUUUGGCAACAAAUAUUAGUUUAAUGUAUAAAUGUAUGUUGAUCUUUGAUGAAUGAUGUACGUACCUUGCGGAGAGAUCCAAACUCAGCACUGAGUCUGAGCCACGAGAGGGCUGGGAAGUCAAGGCUGGUGGCGGUUGUGACGCUACCGGCUUGAGGGUUGUAGAUGUCAGGUGAUGAAGUCUGGCCAAUGUUGUGGCGAAGUCUCAUGGUGCAUAUGGUCUCGUCAAUGCCAUUUCUUCUGCUUUUGCUUUGGCUUCCUCGGGGGCGUUGGCAGUGUUUGUCUUUACCCUUGCACUGUGGCUUCUCAUCCUCUUCUUCUUCUUCCUCUUCCUGGGGUCUUUGUUGCUGCUCGUCCGUGGGUGGUUUUAUCACGCUCAGACCUCCUUUCACUGUCACAAUGGCUCCCUUGUCUUCCCCUUCGUUCUCUCCUUGUAGGUUUUUCGCUAUCUGCUUGUCCACGCUGAAUGCAUGUUCCAAGAAUUCCAGGGUGAAGCCACUCAAUAUGCUGCCUCCUUCGUUUUCUUCUUCUUGCUGAUGCUUUCCUUUCUGGCUUUGAUGACCUCCUUGCUCUUGCUGAUAUUUUAGAAACUCUUGCUCUUGGUUCCCAGCAAGAUAGAAUCUCUGCCAAGAAUUGUCAAAACAAAUAGUUGUCAAUCUGUAACCAGCUAGUAUUAGAACUUAAGAAUUCUAAUCUUAACGUUACAAUGUAGUCCAGUUUCCUUUUUUUAUCAGCUACAAUAUUGUCCAUUUAUUUCAAGACAAGAACCAAAUUGGAUAAAAAAACACAACUAUAAGGAUUCAAUUGGCAUAUUUUAAUCUAUAGGUACUAAAUUAGAAAGUGCAACUCCACGAACUAAAAUGAUAUUUAAACCUUUAAAGAAUUAUAAUAUCUAAUAUUGCUAUGUGGCUCACCCUAGGCAUCUGGUCGAGCUGGUUCUCCAAGCUGUUGGUGUCAAUAAUAGAAACGGCAACAACAGGAGUGUCUUCAUUGUUGUACAUCCACCAUGCAACACCAGUAGGCACUGCGAUCAAAUCACCCUCUCUGAAGUUAUAGAUCUUCUGGUGACGGUCUUGUGGUCUGCUGCUUUGUCCUCUUUGUUGAGGUUGUUGAGGCUCUUCAAAUGUGCUAGGACAACCCGGGUAUAUCAUGCCAAAAAUACCCUUACCUAUUCAUAUUACAAAACAACAAACAAACAAAAAUUAGGAACCCAACAUUAUCAAUGAUAUGAUUAUGUUACGUCAUAUGGAAGAAAUCAAAACAAAAAUUUUAAUAUAUAAAAACUCAAAACAAAAAAAAUUAUUAAAAAUCUAAAAUAAAAUUCCCUCAUUUAUCAAACCCUUAAACAUAUUUAAGUCUAUUAUAUAUUUAUAUGUGAAGUUUGGACAAGAUGGACCUUGUUGGAUGUAGAUUUCCUGGGGACCGUUGGUGUAGGAAGGUCUACGAAGGGCGUUGCGGUUGAGGGUGCAGCGAGAGAGGGCAACACCGGCACACUGGAAUGGCUUGUUGUUAGGGUUCCAUGUCUCAAUGAGCCCUCCUUCUGACUCUAUACGGUUAUCCGGUUUGAGGGCAUUGAGUUUUUGGAUCUGGCACUCGUUUUGCUGAGGCUGCUCUCUGGAACUGAAAGCGAAGCAGCAGCCACUGAAAAGCAGAAAACAAAGGGAAAAAACUAGCUUGGCCAUGGUGAUGACUGAUGAGUGUUUAAGGACCAAUGGAGAGAAUGUUUGAGUUGUGAAGCGGAGAACCUGAGGCGUGGUUAUUUAUAGGGAAGAGAGGAAGGUGAAUGAGGGACACGUCACAGAAGUAGGGUGCUGAGCUUGAGACAUUCUUCAGUAUGCAUGGCUAUGGAAGCCUUGGGUGCUACACCUCAUGAAGUUCAUGGUGUGAGGUGGCUUCGGCAUCUCAAUUAAGUGACAAAGAGAAAGGUGUUUCAGUGUUUCUAUUGCAAAUGGCAGAAACUCGUGAUGACGAGGGGA
This 20226-nucleotide long non-coding RNA is filed under the name Glycine max (soybean). Its description in RNAcentral is "long non-coding RNA (GMAX_LNC000657)". Lineage: Eukaryota; Viridiplantae; Streptophyta; Magnoliopsida; Fabales; Fabaceae. The record is from RNAcentral.